Molecule: long non-coding RNA, 2647 nt
Filed under: Gossypium barbadense (sea-island cotton)
Lineage: Eukaryota; Viridiplantae; Streptophyta; Magnoliopsida; Malvales; Malvaceae
Description: long non-coding RNA (GBAR_LNC009344)
Source: RNAcentral
GAUACCUAACAGCUUGUGUGAGUAGCCCAUAUAGCUAUAUCCUGACCGUCAACUUGUGAGAGCAGAGUCGUGAGUAGCUCAAAAGCGAGCAACAUGUGAUAUGUGAUAUAAGGUAGUGUUGGCUACAUAUGGGGCACUUAGGUGCGAGAUUCCGAGAUUCCAAUGUAUCCGAUAGUAUUCUAAGUGUUCAACAAGUAGUUCAAAGAGAAGUUCCAUGAGUAAUUUUAAUGAACAAGUCAAAGACGAGAAAGUAAGUAUUAUGUGCAAGUUGGUACAGGUAUGUAUAUAAGCUCAUGAUUAAAGAUCUCGGUAUGCUACGAACAUGUGGUAAAAAUGCAUAUGAGAAAGUUAUGCUUAUGAGACUUGAUGACAUUUAUGAAACUUUCCCUUAUGCUAAUUGUAUGAUUAUGUUGCUUAUUAUUUGCAUGUGAACUUACUAAGCUUUAAAUCUUACCCCCUUUCUUCUUUUUUUUAUAGUGUCGCCAAGCUAGCUCGGGGAUCGGAGGAUAUCGGAGUUUUCGAUCACAUUAUCAAUUGAAUAUUGGGUAUAGUUAGUCUCAACAUUUUGAGUAUGGCAUGUAUAAGGACUUGGUCUUUUUGUUAUGUAUCAUAUUGAUUAGCGAAAUGUGUUGGCUCAUAAUGGUAUUGUGAUUCAUUUUGUAUAUGGUCAUGAGAGAUGGCUCAUAUUGAUUAUUCGGGUUGUAACCCUAAUCAUUUGUGCAUGCAUACAAAUGUGUUAUGCUUGAUGUGGUUGCUUGUGGUUGAUUAUGUUAAUAAGUGUGAUGGAUUGCAUGUAUAUUUAAUGUAUGAAAUAUGAUUAAUGAGUAUGACAAUAAAUGUGGUAUAAUGAUGAAUGGAUAUGAAAUUGGUGUGGAAUGUCAUAUGAAAGCCUAAUGGUUUAAGUAUGUGAUAUGUUGACACUACAAAGUUAUAAAUUAACCAUGUAUGUGAAUGCUUGAGUAACUAAAGGUGCCAUGUUGCAUGCCACGAAGAUAGUGUAGGUAGGUGAGUGUUCAAGGGUUGCAAAUAGCUUGGAAAAUAGCCUAGAAAUUGUCUACACGGUUAGACACACGGGCAUGUGUCUAGGCCGCGUGUGGCACACGGGUUUACCCCAUGAGUGUGUGAUCCGGCCAUGUGUCCCCUGUACCCUAAUUAAUGCAACAGAAUGCCCAGUAGUAAACACACGGGCAGAGACACGGCCGUAUGUCUCAGCCGUGUGGAGGACACAGCCUUAGGGCAUGGGCGUGUACCCAGGCCGUGUGAAGUCUGCACUUAAUUUCAAGAAUUUAAUUCGCCACACGGGCAUGUGCUGUAGCCGUGUGAACUCAUUUUGUUGAUGACGUCAUAGUCAGAGAGUUACACAUGCUAAGGAAAUGGGCGUGUCCCAAGCCGUCAUACACGCCUACCCACAUGAGCGUGUGACUCUCUAAAACAAGAAAAUUUUCUAAGCGUUGAAAAGGUUCCAAAAAUUCUCGGUUUAGUCCCGAACCGCUUCCGAUGUAUGUUUUGAGCCUCGUAGGCCCUUAUAAGGGACAAUUUACAUGUGAUUGAAAAGUUUUAAAUUAAGAUGAAAUUUUAUGGCUCGAUUUUGUAUGUUUGUUUACAUUUAAGUCUGGUAAUACCUCAAACCCUAUCCCGGUGUCAAAUACAAGUAAAGGGCAGUACACAAGGGAUUUAUUUUACUAAAAUUUUAAGCUUCCUUGCUUUCUUACUGUAUUUUUCGAUUGAAAAAUGAAACAAGAAGAUGGCCAUUUUGUUUUAUUUUAUUUAAUUUAGCUUUUAUUACUAUAUUACAAAAUUACCCUUAUCUAACUUUAAAAUUUUCAUAAUUGCCAAGCCAUGCACAUCCACUAACUCAUUUAAUGGUCUAAUUACUAUAUAAGGAUAUCUACUUUAAAUUUCUGUAAUUAUUUAAUACUUUUAAGUAAUAGAACACAAUUUUUACAUUUUAUGAAAUUUAAUCCUUUUCAUCAAAUUAAACAUGUAAACGUUAAAAUUUCUUAACAAAAUUUUUAUACGGUAAUAUUAUCAUGUUGUAGAUCAUAAAAUAAUAUUAAAUUAAAUUUUUUUCCUCAGAUUUGUAAUUUUAAAACUACUGCUCCGAUUUCACUAAAAAUAAUUUAUUAAAAUAAAUAAUAAAAAAUUAUAAGCUCAACUCCCGAAAAUGGAGUCCCGGAAAUAUAUUUUUCUUCGACACCCUUGAUUUUUAGUUGGUUACAAAACUUGGGUGCAAAAAUGAUUGUUAACGAGAGAGUACUUACAUCUUUUGCGACCGAGGCAAUAACCUGUUUAUAGGCAGUUCAGGUGGGGUUAGAAAUGGGACUCUGAUAGGUUAUUAUGGAAGGGGUUGCACUUAGUGUUAUUCGACGAGUAAAGACAUUAAAAGAGGAUGGAUCAGUUCUAUGUUCGUACAUACAAGAUAUACAAAUAUUAAGCAAAAGAUUUGAAGAUUCGCUUUCAGAAAAUAUCUAGAUCUGGUAACAGAGUUGCUCAUGAACUUAAAAAAAAGAGCAUUUAAAAGUCUAAGGAAUACUGACAUGGGACAUCGACUACUAAGGAAGGCCAUGUUAGCAUUGGAGGGAGAUGCGAGAAGUAUAGCAACAUCGGAAUGAGAUGAGAGGACUGAUGGGCAUAAGGAACAGAGGAG